Molecule: ribosomal RNA, 441 nt
Filed under: uncultured bacterium
Lineage: Bacteria
Description: bacterial SSU rRNA
Rfam family: Bacterial small subunit ribosomal RNA
Source: RNAcentral
UGGGGAAUCUUCCGCAAUGGGCGAAAGCCUGACGGAGCAAUGCCGCGUGAGUGAAGAAGGCCUUCGGGUUGUAAAACUCUGUCCUUAUCGAAGAGAGGUAGGUAUGUGAAUAAUGUACCUAUAGGACGGUAGAUAAGGAGGAAGCCCCGGCUAACUACGUGCCAGCAGCUGCGGUAAUACGUAGGGGGCGAGCGUUGUCCGGAAUCACUGGGCGUAAAGGGCGCGUAGGCGGUUUAAUAAGUCAGUGGUGAAAACUGAGGGCUCAACCCUCAGCCUGCCACUGGUACUGUUAGACUUGAGUAUGGAAGAGGAGAAUGGAAUUCCUAGUGUAGCGGUGAAAUGCGUAGAUAUUAGGAGGAACACCAGUGGCGAAGGCGAUUCUCUGGGCCAAGACUGACGCUGAGGCGCGAAAGCGUGGGGAGCAAACAGGAUUAGAUACCC